Molecule: ribosomal RNA, 396 nt
Filed under: uncultured Rickettsiaceae bacterium
Lineage: Bacteria; Pseudomonadati; Pseudomonadota; Alphaproteobacteria; Rickettsiales; Rickettsiaceae
Description: bacterial SSU rRNA
Rfam family: Bacterial small subunit ribosomal RNA
Source: RNAcentral
UGUCGAACGGGGGUUAUUCUUUAUAGCUUGCUAUUAAAGUUAGUGGCAGACGGGUGAGUAACACGUGGGAAUCUGCCUCAUAGUACGGGAUAACAGUUGGAAACGACUGCUAAUACCGUAUAUUUUCUUCGGAAGAAAGAUUUAUCGCUAUGAGAUGAGCCCGCGGUAGAUUAGGUAGUUGGUGGGGUAAUGGCCUACCAAGCCUACGAUCUAUAGCUGGUCUGAGAGGAUGAUCAGCCACACUGGGACUGAGACACGGCCCAGACUCCUACGGGAGGCAGCAGUGGGGAAUAUUGGACAAUGGGCGAAAGCCUGAUCCAGCAAUGCCGCGUGAGUGAUGAAGGCCUUAGGGUUGUAAAGCUCUUUCGGUAGGGAAGAUAAUGACGGUACCUAUAA